This 912-nucleotide ribosomal RNA is filed under the name uncultured archaeon. RNAcentral's name for it is "bacterial SSU rRNA". It matches the Rfam family "Archaeal small subunit ribosomal RNA", at positions 1 to 921 of the family's 1478-position model. The record is from RNAcentral.
UUCCGGUUGAUCCUGCCGGAGGCCAUUGCUAUCGGUGUCCGAUUUAGCCAUGCGAGUCGCACGUAUAACGUGGCAAACGGCUCAGUAACACGUGGUCGAACUACCCUACGGACCGUGAUAACCUCGGGAAACUGAGGCUAAUAACGGAUAGUGCUCCCGAGCUUGAAUGCUGGGAGCGCGAAAGCUCCGGCGCCGUAUGAUGUGACUGCGGCCGAUUAGGUAGACGGUGGGGUAACGGCCCACCGUGCCGAUAAUCGGUACGGGUUGUGAGAGCAAGAACCCGGAGACGGACUCUGAGACAAGAGUCCGGGCCCUACGGGGCGCAGCAGGCGCGAAACCUUUACACUGCACGCAAGUGCGAUAGGGGGACACCGAGUGCGAGGGCAUAGAGCCCUCGCUUUUGUGUACCGUAAGGUGGUACACGAAUAAGGGCUGGGCAAGACCGGUGCCAGCCGCCGCGGUAACACCGGCAGCCCAAGUGAUGGCCGCUAUUAUUGGGCCUAAAGCGUCCGUAGCCGGCCGUACAGGUCCGUCGGGAAAUCCACUGGCUUAACUAGUGGGCGUCCGGCGGAAACCGUUCGGCUCGGGACAGGGAGACCAGAGGGGUACGUUCGGGGUAGGAGUGAAAUCCUGUAAUCCUGGACGGACCAUCGGUGGCGAAAGCGCCUCUGGAGAACUGAUCCGACGGUGAGGGACGAAAGCUGGGGUCUCGAACCGGAUUAGAUACCCGGGUAGUCCCAGCCGUAAACGAUGCUCGCUAGGUGUGUCGCAGGCUACGAGCCUGCGAUGUGCCGUAGGGAAGCCGAGAAGCGAGCCGCCUGGGAAGUACGUCCGCAAGGAUGAAACUUAAAGGAAUUGGCGGGGGAGCACUACAACCGGAGGAGCCUGCGGUUUAAUUGGAUUCAACGCCGG